UCAACAAUUUGUAAAUGUUGUCUCUGAAUCAAGAAUCAAGAUCUCCCAAUCCAAUUGCGAUGCUUUUCAUCAUCAUGUUCUUGUUCACAGCCGCAUGAACACUACGAGAGACAUGUGUUAUCACCGACCAAACCACUUAUUCUAAUCUUCACUUCCAAUUCAAAAUUCAACCUUUGAAUGUGAUGAAACCUGGGUGGUGUUUUUCCAACACACUCACACUGUUGCAUUAAGACUCUCUCCAACGUAUACCUAGAAUCAUAGACAAAACAAGAUCACCCC
RNAcentral lists this long non-coding RNA (279 nucleotides) under Vigna radiata. RNAcentral's name for it is "long non-coding RNA (VRAD_LNC003873)". The record is from RNAcentral. Lineage: Eukaryota; Viridiplantae; Streptophyta; Magnoliopsida; Fabales; Fabaceae.